GGAGGAAGACUUGGUUGCUGGUUUCAGGAGAUGGCACUCUUAAAUAAGAAUGGAGGGAGAAGGACGGCGGGAGAAGGAGUCGAGGGAGAAGAAUCAAUUGACACACCCAUCCACUUCUCAUUCACACACAGAGAGAGACAGAGGAGGGGAGAGAACUGGUGCUGCGUGAGUGCUCUCCUCUAGUUUACGAUUCUGAAGUUUCUUCUCUUGGAACCGUUUGUUGUUCCUGUCACUUCUUCUGGUGCUGCUCCGGCUCCUGCUCCAUCGCCAUGGGAGAAAGACAAAGGAGGCGAGAGAACUCAGACUAGACACAGUGACUGUGCGUGUCACUGUCAUUUAGGGCGUGGGUCUAUGCGAGUGCUCUAUUGGGAUCAACAAACCUUAUAUCAUUCAUCUUCUUUGGGUUGGAUGUUCAUAUGAGAGAAUCGAAAGAAUCCCAUUCCCAUGUUUGUUCGUGGGUUUGCGUGAGUGCUCUGUUGGGAUCAACAAACCUUACCAUCGGUCAUCUUCUUCCCAUAACUUGAGGUUCCUCUCUGAAUCUCCAGUGGACCAAUUUAUUGUGAAUGGUAGCUGCAGAAAUUUGACUCUAAUUCCCAUUCAUCAGAGGAAGGGAAAACUUUCAGCUCAUAGAAGGCCA
This is a long non-coding RNA of Macadamia integrifolia, 637 nucleotides long. RefSeq lists it as uncharacterized. The record is from RefSeq and is a predicted model, not a curated record. NCBI's taxonomy places the organism in Eukaryota, Viridiplantae, Streptophyta, Magnoliopsida, Proteales, Proteaceae. The transcript is spliced from 3 exons.